GGAAUAUUGGACAAUGGGGGCAACCCUGAUCCAGCAAUGCCGCGUGUGUGAAGACGGCCUGCGGGUUGUAAAGCACUUUCAGUAGAGAAGAAUUUCCGGGGAUUAAUACUUUCCGGGCUUAACUUAACCUACAGAAGAAGCACCGGCUAACUCCGUGCCAGCAGCCGCGGUAAGACGGAGGGUGCGAGCGUUAAUCGGAAUUACUGGGCGUAAAGCGCACGUAGGCGGCUUGAUAAGUCGGAUGUGAAAUCCCCUGGCUUAACCUGGGAAUUGCAUUCGAUACUGUCUGGCUGGAGUAUGGUAGAGGGUAGUGGAAUUCCGGGUGUAGCGGUGAAAUGCGUAGAUAUCCGGAGGAACACCAGUGGCGAAGGCGGCUACCUGGACCAAUACUGACGCUGAGGUGCGAAAGCGUGGGGAGCAAAC
RNAcentral lists this ribosomal RNA (423 nucleotides) under uncultured bacterium. RNAcentral describes it as "bacterial SSU rRNA". It matches the Rfam family "Bacterial small subunit ribosomal RNA", at positions 358 to 773 of the family's 1533-position model. The record is from RNAcentral.